Molecule: ribosomal RNA, 292 nt
Filed under: uncultured bacterium
Lineage: Bacteria
Also listed under: 1 other name
Description: partial 16S ribosomal RNA
Source: RNAcentral
GGACUACCAGGGUUUCUAAUCCUGUUUGCUCCCCACGCUUUCGUGCCUCAGCGUCAGUAUCGUCCCAGGGGGCUGCCUUCGCCAUCGGUGUUCCUCCACAUCUCUACGCAUUUCACUGCUACACGUGGAAUUCCACCCCCCUCUUACGUACUCUAGUCUUACAGUUUCCAAUGCAGUUCCCAGGUUAAGCCCGGGGAUUUCACAUCAGACUUGUAAAACCGCCUACACACCCUUUACGCCCAGUCAUUCCGAUUAACGCUUGCACCCUACGUAUUACCGCGGCUGCUGGCAC